ACGAACGCUGGCGGCGUGCUUAACACAUGCAGGUCGAACGGAAAGGCCCCUUUGGGGGUACUCGAGUGGCGAACGGGUGAGUAACACGUGAGUAACCUGCCCUUGACUUCGGGAUAACUUCAGGAAACUGGGGCUAAUACCGGAUAGGAAUCCUUGCUGCAUGGUGGGGGUUGGAAAGCUUCGGCGGUUUUGGAUGGACUCGCGGCUUAUCAGCUUGUUGGUGGGGUAGUGGCUUACCAAGGCUUUGACGGGUAGCCGGCCUGAGAGGGCGACCGGCCACAUUGGGACUGAGAUACGGCCCAGACUCCUACGGGAGGCAGCAGUGGGGAAUAUUGCACAAUGGGCGGAAGCCUGAUGCAGCAACGCCGCGUGCGGGAUGACGGCCUUCGGGUUGUAAACCGCUUUCAGCAGGGGCGAAGCUUGUGGUGACGGUACCUGCAGAAGAAGCACCGGCUAACUACGUG
This 464-nucleotide ribosomal RNA is filed under the name uncultured bacterium. Its description in RNAcentral is "partial 16S ribosomal RNA". It matches the Rfam family "Bacterial small subunit ribosomal RNA", at positions 29 to 507 of the family's 1533-position model. The record is from RNAcentral.